UCUGAAAAGGGCAAACCUGCCGUAAGGCAGGGACGCAAAACUGCGGAUCUCCCUACCGGAGAUAGCCGAGUUGCCAGAG
RNAcentral lists this non-coding RNA (79 nucleotides) under Candidatus Fraseribacteriota. RNAcentral describes it as "Candidatus Fraserbacteria c-di-GMP sequence". It matches the Rfam family "c-di-GMP-I-GGC riboswitch aptamer". The record is from RNAcentral.